RNAcentral lists this ribosomal RNA (422 nucleotides) under uncultured bacterium. Its description in RNAcentral is "bacterial SSU rRNA". It matches the Rfam family "Bacterial small subunit ribosomal RNA", at positions 355 to 774 of the family's 1533-position model. The record is from RNAcentral.
UGAGGAAUAUUGGUCAAUGGGGGCAACCCUGAACCAGCCAAGUCGCGUGAAGGAUGAAGGUCUUAUGGAUUGUAAACUUCUUUUAUACAGGAAUAAAUUGGGGGACGUGUCCCCUUUUGCAUGUACUGUAUGAAUAAGGAUCGGCUAACUCCGUGCCAGCAGCCGCGGUAAUACGGAGGAUCCGAGCGUUAUCCGGAUUUAUUGGGUGUAAAGGGUGCGCAGGCGGAUGGGUAAGUCAGGGGUGAAAGUCUGCAGCUUAACUGUAGAAUUGCCUUUGAUACUGCUCAUCUUGAGUGUGGGAGAGGUUGAUGGAAUUCCAGGUGUAGCAGUGAAAUGCGUAGAUAUCUGGAAGAACACCAGUGGCGAAGGCGGCCACCUGGACAGGUACUGACGCUGAGGCGCGAAAGCGUGGGGAGCAAACA